GGAGGGUCCUGGAGCAGCCCUGCCAGGCCUACCCUGGACUGUGUGCCUCUGGACCAAGCAGGAGAGAGACGCAAACUCACGCGAGGGACCUUUGUGACAGCAGCUGAACCCUAUGCCUGGUGGCGCUGCUUUCAAACAACCUGUAUUCGGAUCACAUCUGAGUAAGGCCUCCCAAGCUGCAGACGAUGCCUUUGACAACAGUUUGUUCCUCAGGGUUCCCCAGAGGAAGGGGCGUGCCACACUGUGCAGGGCCAAGCGAAGAAGCCCCUGGAGGAGGGACAAUGGUGACAGAUGGCUUUAUGGUGGUUUCUGCAGGAGGGAACCAGCUAGGCAGCGUGGCAGCUCAGGAUCGGCUGGUGUGGCUACUUCUAGGACUCGGGGGCCCAGGAGCUGGCCCCUGGUCCUGGCCCUGGGGUGAGGCCAGCAGGCAGACAGUGGAGGAGGAGGGCCUGUUCACAGAAAGGAGGUGGGAGGGGCCAGGCUCUGGGUUGGUUGGUUUCUCUGUGUCCCAGGGCCCCGAGAAGGAGGAAUCUUCCUGGGGGCUGGAGGAGGUGGUGACAAGUUCGAGAGGCCAAGGGAAAGCGCCUCAGGACCAGUCAGGUGGAAAUGGGCGCCUUUGGGUCAGGGCCCCGCGUGUUUCCAGAGCGCCCUCCCUGGGCCCAGCUGUGUGAGGCUUCGGGAUGCUGUGGAAGAAACAGGAUGGUCUCUGCCUUGACUGGCCCCGUUGGCAAUGUCCCCGGGGUCCUCCAGCCCCUUCUGGGGACCAGCCGUGCUCUGUCUGAUCAAAUCUGAAUGAGCCCUGGAGGAGUCCGGGUGAGCCGUGCAGGUUGGUUUUGGGGGGGUCUGAGAGAUCACUCAGGGUCCGAGGGGUUGUGCCGAUGGUGGUGAUUAGAUCUCACCACGAUCAGCAGUGCUUCUCUCUCCUUGGAGGAGAGCAGGGGGGCGGUGCCGGGGCCCUGGGGCCGGAGGUGCCUGGCGCCAUCCCCCUGCCUCAGCUGCCCGCCCCUGUGGUCCAAGCGGUCAGGCUUUGGUGCUUUCCUGUUCUGUAGGGUUCACAUUGCAGUCUGGGGACAGGUGAGUGCCGGAGACCGGCCGCCUGUCCAAAAUCACCAUGGAAGUGCUUGACAAUUCCGGCAACAAGGUCUACCUGUCCGACCCCAGCGCCUGCCUUGGGGCCUGGAGUGGUGGUCCCCGGGCGGGGCGUGUCUCCCAGAGCAGCUCUCCAGGCCUCAGAGCCUCCCUGCGGGCGGGUUGUGUCCAGUGGUUUCUGGUGGUGCUGCUGGGUUGUGGGAGACUGUGCUCACUCAGUAGUGAGCAAGGGAUGUGCGUUAAAGGAAAAGAGGGCUCAAGCAGUGGUCAGGGCACUUCCGUGGUCAGUGCUCCGGAGUGUUCACCAUGGGACUCCUCCCUGGGGCCUUGGACCCGUCUGUUCACUAGCCCAGCGGGGCGGGUGUGUUUUCCCUAAAGUACCCCAGGUGAGGGCCAGUAGAAAGGGGUCAGGGUGACCUCUGUGGCCUCUGGUAGAGCCAGGCCAGAUGUGGUCUGUAGUGUGGCAGAGUAAGACCGUCACAAAGCAAAUUCUGUUUGAAAUCUUACCUAACAGUUUGUGAGUGUCAGCCGUUUUUUCUGGUGGCCCCAUCUUCUAUUCCCUUUUGGGACGAGCACAAUUUAAUUCCUUCGGUCUCAGCCCAGAGGUCAGUGGUCUUCCAGGCCUUUCUAAUCCUUCUGUCUCUGCUGCAUCCCUUCUGUUAGCCUCUGGUGAAGCCCUGAUUACCCUCCCUCAUGGUGCUUCUCCCAUUGAUAUGCCUUGUUAUGUAAUGGCUGUGUCUCCCGUGCACUGUUGGCUUCUUAAGAUCAGGGACACUGUCUGCUUUUCUGUCUAGUAAAUACAACUCCAAGCUAGAAAUGGG
Long non-coding RNA from Suricata suricatta (meerkat), 1910 nucleotides. The record is from Ensembl. NCBI's taxonomy places the organism in Eukaryota, Metazoa, Chordata, Mammalia, Carnivora, Herpestidae.